CGGGAGACCCGCGGCCGACUGCUCCUUCGCGGACACCCCGCGAGACGGCUGCGCCUGAUCGUCUAGCCCGUUCGUCCCCAUGCUGCCUGGCCUAGCGUUGAGGUGACUGCGGGCUCUUGGCGCACGUACAUGAGAUAUAGAAUGAGAGACGGCGUUUACUUUCGCUGGCUUCCUCGCUCACCAAAGAACCCACCGGACCGCCAACCUGCGACCGCAUGCGAGCACCUCGUCCCGGCCUCGGCACCACUUUGUCCCCCCCACAACAACGCAAGGACAAACUGUUCCGAUGAAAUUUGACUAAUUCUUCAGACGCGGUGGGCGGGUCGAGACAAACGUCGACAAUAUCGAUACCGACUUCAGCGCGGACGCUGCUAGACAUCGACGUCAUCAGAUCAAUACUUCACUUCCUGUUUCCCGCUGUAUGCGCUUACUGCGAUUUUGGCAAAGAAGUAACUUAGCUGACGGCGUUUGUGUGUUGCUACUGACUCUUCACUCUUAGCAGGGGCCUGUAUCGGAUUCUGAUGAGAUGUUUAGCAAAAAUGCUGCGAGUUCGCGGUAACACGGAAAUUGCAAUUACAUCGCUGACGUGUAUUAUUUUGAAAUGUUUGGGUAAAUUAAAAAAAAUAAAAAAAUCAUUAAAAAAAACAUUUUU
Long non-coding RNA from Phyllopteryx taeniolatus (common seadragon), 652 nucleotides. RefSeq lists it as uncharacterized. The transcript has 3 exons. The record is from RefSeq and is a predicted model, not a curated record. Lineage: Eukaryota; Metazoa; Chordata; Actinopteri; Syngnathiformes; Syngnathidae.